This 254-nucleotide ribosomal RNA is filed under the name uncultured bacterium. RNAcentral describes it as "partial 16S ribosomal RNA". It matches the Rfam family "Bacterial small subunit ribosomal RNA", at positions 524 to 776 of the family's 1533-position model. The record is from RNAcentral.
CACGUAGGGGGCAAGCGUUGUCCGGAUUUAUUGGGCGUAAAGAGCUCGUAGGCGGUUGGGUAAGUCGGGUGUGAAAGGCUGGGGCUCAACCCCAUGCAGUGCUCCCCAUACUGGCAGUCUUGAGGGCGGUAGGGAGAAGUGGAAUGGCUGGUGUAGCGGUGAAAUGCGUAGAUAUCAGUCGGAACACCGGUGGCGAAGGCGGCUUCUUGGGCCGUUCCUGACGCUGAGGCGCGAAAGCCAGGGGAGCGAACGGG